GACAGCAGUAGCCGCGGUAAUACGUAGGUCCCGAGCGUUAUCCGGAUUUAUUGGGCGUAAAGCGAGCGCAGGCGGUUAGAUAAGUCUGAAGUUAAAGGCUGUGGCUUAACCAUAGUACGCUUUGGAAACUGUUUAACUUGAGUGCAGAAGGGGAGAGUGGAAUUCCAUGUGUAGCGGUGAAAUGCGUAGAUAUAUGGAGGAACACCGGUGGCGAAAGCGGCUCUCUGGUCUGUAACUGACGCUGAGGCUCGAAAGCGUGGGGAGCAAACAGGAUUAGAUACCCCGGUAGUCCCUGUCUCUUAUACA
This 306-nucleotide ribosomal RNA is filed under the name uncultured bacterium. RNAcentral describes it as "partial 16S ribosomal RNA". It matches the Rfam family "Bacterial small subunit ribosomal RNA", at positions 507 to 808 of the family's 1533-position model. The record is from RNAcentral.